UACGUAGGGGGCAAGCGUUGUCCGGAUUUAUUGGGCGUAAAGAGCUCGUAGGCGGUUUGGUAAGUCUGGUGUGAAAUCUCCACGCUCAACGUGGAGGGGCCACCCGAUACUGCCAUGACUGGAGUCCGGUAGAGGAGUGUGGAAUUCCCGGUGUAGCGGUGAAAUGCGCAGAUAUCGGGAGGAACACCAGUGGCGAAGGCGGCACUCUGGGCCGGAACUGACGCUGAGGAGCGAAAGCGUGGGGAGCGAACAGG
RNAcentral lists this ribosomal RNA (254 nucleotides) under uncultured bacterium. Its description in RNAcentral is "partial 16S ribosomal RNA". It matches the Rfam family "Bacterial small subunit ribosomal RNA", at positions 524 to 776 of the family's 1533-position model. The record is from RNAcentral.